Molecule: unclassified non-coding RNA, 231 nt
Filed under: fungal sp.
Lineage: Eukaryota; Fungi
Description: partial internal transcribed spacer region
Rfam family: Eukaryotic small subunit ribosomal RNA (bases 1-47)
Source: RNAcentral
AAAGUCGUAACAAGGUUUCCGUAGGUGAACCUGCGGAAGGAUCAUUAACACUUUUUAUUAUUUUGUUUUUUUUUCUAAAACAAAAUUUAAAACCCCACAAUUUUGGAUGAAUUUAAUUAAUUUAUUUUUUAUUUUAUUUUUUUUAUUAUAACCCUAUUAUUUGACUAACAUUUUUAUUUAAUUAUUAAAAAAUUAAAAAAACAACUCUUAACAACGGAUAUCUUGGCUCUC